AUUGAACGCUGGCGGCAGGCUUAACACAUGUAAGUCGAGCGGAGAUGAGGUGCUUGCACCUUAUCUUAGCGGCGGACGGGUGAGUAAUGCUUAGGAAUCUGCCUAUUAGUGGGGGACAACCUUCCGAAAGGAAUGCUAAUACCGCAUACGUCCUACGGGAGAAAGCAGGGGAUCUUCGGACCUUGCGCUAAUAGCUGAGCCUAAGUCGGAUUAGCUAGUUGGUGGGGUAAAGGGCUACCAAGGCGACGAUCUGUAGCGGGUCUGAGAGGAUGAUCCGCGACACUGGGACUGAGACACGGCCCAGACUCCUACGGGAGGCAGCAGUGGGGAAUAUUGGACAAUGGGGGAAACCCUGAUCCAGCCAUGCCGCGUGUGUGAAGAAGGCCUUAUGGUUGUAAAGCACUUUAAGCGAGGAGGAGGCUACUGAGACUAAUACUCUUGGAUAGUGGACGUUACUCGCAGAAUAAGCACCGGCUAACUCUGUGCCAGCAGCCGCCGUAA
RNAcentral lists this ribosomal RNA (501 nucleotides) under uncultured bacterium. RNAcentral describes it as "partial 16S ribosomal RNA". It matches the Rfam family "Bacterial small subunit ribosomal RNA", at positions 30 to 523 of the family's 1533-position model. The record is from RNAcentral.